This 475-nucleotide ribosomal RNA is filed under the name uncultured organism. RNAcentral describes it as "partial 16S ribosomal RNA". It matches the Rfam family "Bacterial small subunit ribosomal RNA", at positions 332 to 798 of the family's 1533-position model. The record is from RNAcentral.
UACACUCCUGCGGGAGGCAGCAGUGGGGAAUUUUGGACAAUGGGCGAAAGCCUGAUCCAGCCAUGCCGCGUGCAGGAUGAAGGCCUUCGGGUUGUAAACUGCUUUUGUACGGAACGAAACGGCCUUUUCUAAUAAAGAGGGCUAAUGACGGUACCGUAAGAAUAAGCACCGGCUAACUACGUGCCAGCAGCCGCGGUAAUACGUAGGGUGCAAGCGUUAAUCGGAAUUACUGGGCGUAAAGCGGGCGCAGGCGGUUAUGUAAGACAGUUGUGAAAUCCCCGGGCUCAACCUGGGAACUGCAUCUGUGACUGCAUAGCUAGAGUACGGUAGAGGGGGAUGGAAUUCCGCGUGUAGCAGUGAAAUGCGUAGAUAUGCGGAGGAACACCGAUGGCGAAGGCAAUCCCCUGGACCUGUACUGACGCUCAUGCACGAAAGCGUGGGGAGCAAACAGGAUUAGAAACCCCAGUAGUCCCAU